This is a non-coding RNA of Caenorhabditis elegans, 214 nucleotides long. The record is from Ensembl. NCBI's taxonomy places the organism in Eukaryota, Metazoa, Nematoda, Chromadorea, Rhabditida, Rhabditidae.
AUCUCUCGAAUUAUGUGGUAUACCACCUGGCCUCCGUGCUUUCCGAUGUGUGCGUUCCUUUUGUUGAGAUAGAUAGACGAGUGCGGGGCGAGCGCUCGCUCGCGGCGGCGCCAAAUUAAAUAUGCUUGACGAGAUGAGAGAGCGUUCGGAUCAGUGGAGACAUUGACACUUUCACAGACGUUUUUCGCAACAUAUUCGAGAAUGUACGAACAGU